Molecule: long non-coding RNA, 1005 nt
Organism: Gossypium arboreum
Lineage: Eukaryota; Viridiplantae; Streptophyta; Magnoliopsida; Malvales; Malvaceae
Exons: 2
Source: RefSeq, a predicted model, not a curated record
UUUUGAAAAUCUUCAAAUUUGUUUUCAAUAUUUCUGAAUUUUGGUUUAACUAUCUUUAUUAAUUUACUAUAUUUUUUUAGUAUUGAUGCACAGUUUGGUAAUAGUCAUUUUUAGUGGUGUCGAAAAUGGUGGUUUUAGGAACCACAAAUUUAAUGAUUGACCUUGUAAAUAUUAUUAAUUUAAUAUUUAUAAGUCAAUUAUAAUAUUAUUGAAAUUUUUAUUUAAUAAAUUUCAUUAAUUGAUCGUAUAGUUAAGUUAAGUGGUUCAUUCCUUAAUUCAAUUGGUUUUGAAAAAUGAAGUAUUGAGACCUCAUUUAUAAAAAUCAAACCCGUAAAUAUUUUUAUUAAAUAUUUAUUGAGUUAUUAUAUAGGUAUAUGAAUAUUUGGUUAGGAAAUUUUAAUUUUAAUUAGUUAAUUAAUUGAAAAGGACUAAAUCAUAAAAGUAGAAAAAUCUAAUCACUAUUGAAUUUUAAUGGUUAAAUAACUUAACUAGAGGAUGUGUGAGGACUUAUGAAAUAAUUAUACCAUGUUUUCAUAUUAUUGGAUGGUUAAGACAUUUAUAGAUUAUAUAUGUUAUAUUAUAUAAAGUAAAUAAAAUAAGUAAAGUUAAAAAUAAGAAAACUUAAAGAAUUAGUGUCAUCUUCUUCUUCUUUUAAUUUUAACAUCGAACCAUCAUGGGAGAAAUUGGGAAGCUUCAGCUUUGAUAUUUCCAUUGCAUAUUGUUGGAUUUGAGCUGUCAAUUAGAUUACUUUUGGAGAUCACACUAUUUGUUCAAUGAUUUGGUGUAAGAUGUGAUUAUUUUUUAUUUAGUUUAUAAGUGGCAUGUUCUAAGAGCAUAUAAGUUCUUUUGCUAUAAUGAUGUAACCUUAGUUUAAGCAUAUAUGUGUAUAGAUUUAGCUUGUAUAUGUCCAUAUAUGUAUGUCUUUAGUUGUUUGGUAUAUGCUUCUUGGAUGUGUCUGAAAUAUGGUAAGAUUGAAUGUGAAUGGAAUGGUUGAAUUGGUAAAAA